RNAcentral lists this ribosomal RNA (480 nucleotides) under uncultured Bacteroidota bacterium. Its description in RNAcentral is "bacterial SSU rRNA". It matches the Rfam family "Bacterial small subunit ribosomal RNA", at positions 355 to 832 of the family's 1533-position model. The record is from RNAcentral. Lineage: Bacteria; Pseudomonadati; Bacteroidota.
UAAGGAAUAUUGGACAAUGGGCGCAAGCCUGAUCCAGCCAUGCCGCGUGCAGGAUGAAAGUGCUAUGCACUGUAAACUGCUUUUGUUUGGGAAAAAACCCCUGGUUUCUACCGGGGCUGAUUGUACCAAAAGAAUAAGGGACGGCUAACUUCGUGCCAGCAGCCGCGGUAAUACGAAGGUCCCAAGCGUUAUCCGGAUUUAUUGGGUUUAAAGGGUGCGUAGGCGGGCUAUUAAGUCAGUGGUGAAAGCCCCAAGCUUAACUUGGGAACUGCCAUUGAUACUGAUGGUCUUGAGUACAUUUGAGGUGGGCGGAAUGUGUCAUGUAGCGGUGAAAUGCUUAGAUAUGACACAGAACACCGAUUGCGAAGGCAGCUCACUAAACUGUAACUGACGCUGAGGCACGAAAGCGUGGGGAGCAAACAGGAUUAGAUACCCUGGUAGUCCACGCCCUAAACGAUGAUCACUCGAUGUGUGCGAUAU